CGGCAAGCGGCCGCGCCCGGAGCCGGAACCCAACCGACGAGUUCUUCCACCCACGCGACGGCGACACUGCCACCGCGCUCGGAGGCGCUGAAGCCAGCCGAGAGGCGGGGCCCGGCCCCCCGGCGACUAGUAGGCAGCCACAGCCAACCACUCGAAGUGUUCGGUUCCACUUCCACGUUCAGGUAGAGCUCGUCGCCGCAACAUCGACCUUCUCCGUCCAGGUGGAUUUUUUUUUUCUUGAUAUGUCAUUCUUCAAGUCAGAUCUGCUAGUCUAGCACUGUAUGUAUGUUGGUAGUAACUGUUUGCUUCGGAUUAAAGCAACAAGUUUGGACUGCUGCAGCUGUAAUCCAUAGAGACAAAAAUACUGUAGAAGUAGAAGCUGUUACGGAUUAAAACCAAGCGGACAGGCUGGAAACUUUUUUUUUUUUGAACAAAGACAGCAAGGUUCAUGUAGAGGAAUUAUCUCCAUGUGUACCAGACUAGCAGAAUGGAUGUUUUUUGACAUUUUAUUAGUCGUAGUAGCAAAAUCAUGCCCAGCUGAAAAAAAACAGUUGCAAAACUAUGCAUCUGAUCUCUACUGUGAUUCUGGAACUGCCUGUUUACAGUUACAACAUUCAAAAUGAAAAGUGUUAUGCUUGAGCUAAAACUGUUAUACAAAUGAACAAACCUGACUUGUAUUAUCUUGGCAUAUACAACUUGCUUGACACAACACCGGAAUUUGAAUCUCUCUUCUGUAGUCUGUACACUUAAUAUACACAACUAAAAAUCACUCUCCAGCAAGUAAGACCAGAUGUGUGCUGAAUCCUGUGCUCAAUUUAUGCUUCAGCCUUGAGAUAUUGGUGGAGCAGAUGCCUGUGUGGUCAUCUUGCUUCUUAGCUCUUCAAAAGCUUUCAUGCUUUCUGCAUCAAAGCCCCCAGCAAACUGCAGAAGGUAGAGGAAUAAGUUACUGAUUCGAAGCCUUUAAUUUACCUGUAAAGUACCUGGGUUUUGAAUAUAUAGAUGUGAGGAUUUUACCUGAUGAACCCGGAAAGCGAACCUCACACCCUGGAGAAGCAAAAACUCUCUAUUGGGCUCUUUCUCAGUGCCUUCUAAUGCAUCAAGUUCUGAGGCAACCCUCUUCAUAUACUUGUUUGCAAGCUGGACAGAUGCCACUUUGAUCUAUUCCAACACACAAAUAAAAUAUUGAGUUCAUAUAGGUGCAUACUCCAAGUAAAAGCACACCCGCCUUCAUAAGGAAUUAAAAAUGCAUGGUUUCUUUAACACAAGUUUGUCAAAAUUGGAGUGCUUGCUAGAGAUGCAAACCUUGCCAACUACUCCAGAAUCUGACAGCCAGUCAAAUGGGAUCCCGUACUCCUUGUAGCGUGAGACGGUCAUGUCUCUUGUACGGAGUAGUGCAUAGACACUCUGCUCCACUCUGGCAUAUGUAUUGACGCUAGUUAGUACAAUGAAACCAUCACUUUGGGUAAAAUUAUGUUCAUCACAUACAUAUCUUAAACCAGGCAAAAAUAUUGCUGUUUCACUCUGAAGUACUAUGUUAGAGAGAAUACUAGGUAUGAUGAGGACGAGACACUAACUUUUCAAGCAAAGAAUACAUCUUCUUGAGAGCUUCUUCACACGCAAGUUGUGGAUCAUCGGUAAAGGUUGAAACCCUGUUCUGUAGCUUUAUCAGAUCCUGGUACUCAAAAGCUGCUUCUCUUAUUGCAUCUGUUUUGCUCUCUGGCCAAUCAAAAUGUUUUAGCACUGCUCUCUCAUCAACCUAAAAUUUUGUUGAUCCUCUUUAGUACUAGAACAUGUGUCAUAAGUACAAUAAUUGCUACUUCAUGACAGAGGUAUUGUAUGAAGGGCAUGUUCGGGCUGCUUACCAAGAAAGACAACUCCUCAUCCAACCAAUUUACAAAUGCAACAACGUCAUCAAUAUUUAUGAAGCUUGCUGCUCGGACCUCAUUUGCUAGAGAUUCAACAAAUUCUCCUUGUGUCUCCACAUCAGCUUUUACCUGAAACAUUCCAUGUUUUUAUAAAACAUUUGUCACUUUUCAUUAUUGAAAUCUGAUUACUAGUUUUAAUUAUGCAUUAAUAGUGGAACUCAUAAAUUUCACAGGAUUUUUGUUCAAGAUGGUGCCAGCAGAAAAUACUUACAGCUAAGAGGAAUGUUGAUCUGUUCUCAAUCUCUCCAAUCAUAUUACUUCUGGCAUCAGAUACAUUGGAUGAUAUUGA
This 2214-nucleotide long non-coding RNA is filed under the name Zea mays. RNAcentral's name for it is "long non-coding RNA (ZMAY_LNC004088)". Lineage: Eukaryota; Viridiplantae; Streptophyta; Magnoliopsida; Poales; Poaceae. The record is from RNAcentral.